Talpa occidentalis (Iberian mole) is the source of this 402-nucleotide long non-coding RNA. RefSeq lists it as uncharacterized. The record is from RefSeq and is a predicted model, not a curated record. Lineage: Eukaryota; Metazoa; Chordata; Mammalia; Eulipotyphla; Talpidae. The transcript is spliced from 3 exons.
GGAGCUGGGGGUUCACUGCUACACCCUCCCCUGCAGAACCUGAACCCUCUCAAGUACACAGUUUCUCACAGGGCUGUCCGAGGUAGAGAACAAUGGUUUCAACCUCGCACUGCUGCUGACUUAGCCACUCACCCCUCGGGGUUGGGCAAGCAGCUCCCAAACCCAAGAACUGGAAAGGAGACCUGGAUGACUGACCCAUAUUAUAGAGCCAGUGUUCUGGGUCUACUGAGGCCACGACGAAGCUGUGUGACCCAGAACAAGUAGCAACCUCUCUGUGCAUCUCCUCAAUGGUUAAAACAAAAUGGGGUAAAAGUAAAACUCAUCCUGAGAUUAAAUUGCCUGUAAAUGUUUGACAUAGAGCCUGGUACAUAGUGAUUAAUAGAUAUUAGCCAUAAUCGAAGA